RNAcentral lists this ribosomal RNA (497 nucleotides) under Donax semigranosus. RNAcentral describes it as "partial 16S ribosomal RNA". It matches the Rfam family "Bacterial large subunit ribosomal RNA", at positions 1809 to 2620 of the family's 2925-position model. The record is from RNAcentral. Lineage: Eukaryota; Metazoa; Mollusca; Bivalvia; Cardiida; Donacidae.
UCAAACAUCGCUUUUUGUUUUAAGGAAAAAAAGUCUGACCUCCCCAGUGGUUUACUCUUAACGGGCACAAUUUUGGGUUAAAGUAGCGCGAUAAAUUGUCUUUUAAUUGGAGAAAUGGUAUGAAGGGUUCGACGACAGAAAAGCUUUAUUAAAAACAGCUAUUGAAAUUUAUAUUUAAGUGAAAAGGCUUAAAUAUAUUUGUUAGACGAGAAGACCCUGUUGAGCUUGAUAUCCUACUUUAUUGUUUCUAAAGUGGGUAUGUUUGUUCGGGGUAGAAAGGAAGGGAGUUAAUAUCUUCUUUAUUAUGUGUAGGUUAAGCAUGAGCUAUGAAAAGAAAAAAGCUACCACAGGGAUAACAGCACAAUUACUUUUGCGGAGUUCUUAUCUUAAAAAGAGUUUGUGACCUCGAUGUUGAAUCAAGAUUUCUACCAGAUGAAAAAGGUUGGAAAGUAGGACUGUUCGUCCUUUAAAAUCUUACGUGAUUGUUCCAGACCGGG